Molecule: long non-coding RNA, 1612 nt
Organism: Hypanus sabinus (Atlantic stingray)
Lineage: Eukaryota; Metazoa; Chordata; Chondrichthyes; Myliobatiformes; Dasyatidae
Exons: 3
Source: RefSeq, a predicted model, not a curated record
UGAUCCACACAGCAUGUUGCAGAUUAACAAAGAAUUGAUCAUUUGCCAUCUCUUUCGGAUGCCUGCAGGAUUAGGCUCCAAGAUUGGAAGUCAACAAGUGUAAACACUGCAAAACUCAAAUCAGACUGUGAAGGAAGACCAUUAAAAUCUCCCUGGACACAGAUGUAAAGCAGACUUAGACCAAACAUGAACGGAAGAGUUGAAGAGUGACUGCCCUCAAUCUUAAAGCAACAUUGGGGAAUAUGUCAUCAUAAAGCCCUUAUAAAACUCAUCCAAGCGUAUCAAAGGGAAAACUUUCCACAUGGCAAUCAGAAAGGAAAAUGAUCAUAUAAUCCAACCAGAAAAUGACUGCAGGAUUCAUCACAACAAUGUUCUGAGGGAAACCAUUUUCAACAGCUUCACCUUUGACCUCUCCAUAGAAUUGUCAAAUAGAUCCCUGUAUAAAGGCGAUUGGAGGCAUUGCUCCUCCCUCAGUCUCUAAGAUGUCGUGGUCACGUUUGCAGCUAAUAAAAGCCCAUCUUUUGCCUCCCAUCUCCGAGCGUUAUUGAUGGUGCAUCAGGUACAAAACCAUCUCAAAGGGUCCGAACAUACCUUGGAGCUCAGUGCAGUCUAAUGUGAAAACUGGAAAGAAGUAUGAAACCACAGCCACACUGCCUAGGACAGGCCUCGCCUCUAAAGUAAGUGGCCAGAGAAUAAUGACACUUGUAAGAGAGGCCACCGUGGUGCCAACAGUCACUGAAUGAGCUGCAGAAGUCAGUGGCUGCAACUGGAGAUGAAGUUCACAGCUCCCCAGUCUCUAAGGCCUUGCACAAAAUGGAAGAGUAGCAAAGCAGGAGCUCUGGCUAAAGAAAAACUAUCCUUACCCAUAAAGGUUUUGCAAAGCAACACUUAGAAGAUACUUUAAAAAUGUGGAAGGAGCUCUUGUGGUCAGACAAGGCUAAAGAUGAACUUUUUUUUGUAACACUAAUACUGCACAUCAGCCAGUAAUGCCAUCCGUAACGUGCAGCAUGAUGUGGGGAGCAUCAUUCUGUAGAGAUGCUUUUCUGCAGCAGGGACUGGAAAUCUGGUCAGGAUUGAUGGGAAGAUGAAUACAGAGAGAUCCUGGAUAAAAAGCUGCUCGCCCCAGCCAGAAAGAUCAAACUGGGGAGGAAGUUCAUCUUUCAGCAGGACAACACCCAAAGCACAGAGCCAGAGCGACCAUUGAGUGGCUUCAAGUGAAGAAAAUUGAACAUCCACUGCCGCUCCACAACUAACCUGACGCAGCUUGAGCAAUUUUGCAAUGAGAAAUGGGCAGGUCUUACCUCAUUAUGUUGUGCAAGCUAACCUAGACAGAUCUAAAAAGUCUACUGGCUGUAAUAGCUGCAAAAGGUCAUUCAACUAAGUACUGAGCAAAGGGGGAUGAACAUUUUUUUGAACUGCUGGCAUUUCGGUUCUUGAAUUUUCACACAUUACAAUUUUCUUUGUUUUUUGGUUUCUACUGUGAAAAAAAGGAGCAUGUGAUUCACAAAUAAAAAUUCUCUAUCAAAUUGAUCAAAAUCACUGGAUGUAAUAUUUAUGUGAACAAAGGUUUGGGUGCUGAGUACUUUUACAAGGCACUCUACAUACAAUAAAA